This 651-nucleotide ribosomal RNA is filed under the name Staphylococcus epidermidis. Its description in RNAcentral is "bacterial SSU rRNA". It matches the Rfam family "Bacterial small subunit ribosomal RNA", at positions 57 to 690 of the family's 1533-position model. Lineage: Bacteria; Bacillati; Bacillota; Bacilli; Caryophanales; Staphylococcaceae. The record is from RNAcentral.
GCAAGUCGAGCGAACAGACGAGGAGCUUGCUCCUCUGACGUUAGCGGCGGACGGGUGAGUAACACGUGGAUAACCUACCUAUAAGACUGGGAUAACUUCGGGAAACCGGAGCUAAUACCGGAUAAUAUAUUGAACCGCAUGGUUCAAUAGUGAAAGACGGUUUUGCUGUCACUUAUAGAUGGAUCCGCGCCGCAUUAGCUAGUUGGUAAGGUAACGGCUUACCAAGGCAACGAUGCGUAGCCGACCUGAGAGGGUGAUCGGCCACACUGGAACUGAGACACGGUCCAGACUCCUACGGGAGGCAGCAGUAGGGAAUCUUCCGCAAUGGGCGAAAGCCUGACGGAGCAACGCCGCGUGAGUGAUGAAGGUCUUCGGAUCGUAAAACUCUGUUAUUAGGGAAGAACAAAUGUGUAAGUAACUAUGCACGUCUUGACGGUACCUAAUCAGAAAGCCACGGCUAACUACGUGCCAGCAGCCGCGGUAAUACGUAGGUGGCAAGCGUUAUCCGGAAUUAUUGGGCGUAAAGCGCGCGUAGGCGGUUUUUUAAGUCUGAUGUGAAAGCCCACGGCUCAACCGUGGAGGGUCAUUGGAAACUGGAAAACUUGAGUGCAGAAGAGGAAAGUGGAAUUCCAUGUGUAGCGGUGAAAUGCG